Molecule: long non-coding RNA, 219 nt
Filed under: Elaeis guineensis (African oil palm)
Lineage: Eukaryota; Viridiplantae; Streptophyta; Magnoliopsida; Arecales; Arecaceae
Description: long non-coding RNA (EGUI_LNC062034)
Source: RNAcentral
GAUUAGAAUAGGUCAGUCCAAUUGCAUCAAUUAAUUAGGACUCUUUCUAAUUAAUUUUUGAAUUAAACUCUUUUAAUUUUUGUGAGUUCACAAGUCAAGAUUGAUGUCUAACAAUGUGUAAUGACUAUCUGAAAGAGAUAAAAUUUAAUAAAAAUACUAAAAAUAUCUUUUAGUGGCAAGUUACCAUGCAAUUCAAUCUUUCAGUCAUACAACACCCCA